AUUUUAUCUUGUCAAAUUUUAUGAUAAUUCACAAUUUGAUGGUUGUUACUGUUUAAUUUGGCUUUAGUAAAUGGUCUCAGUUGGACCUUUUGAGCUUGUAUUUCUAUCCUUUUCUAGAAUAUUAACUAUUCUAUAAAUUGAAUUGCUUAUGAUAUUGGUGUUUGCUCCAGUGUUUUGGUAUAUGCCAGCUGUGUUUUUAUUAAUGCGAAGUGUAGGAAUUCAAAUGGGAAUGCUGUGUUUUUCAAUAGAAGUAGCCAUGUGCACAUUGCCAAAUAUUUAAUGCUUUAUUUAACUUGAAAGUUUGGAUAUAGAGAAUUAAAUAACAAUGUCCUUCAUGAUUAAGUCUACCUUGUGCCAAUCUUAAAUAAAAUUUCCGGUGUAAUGUUAGUGUGUAGUUUUCAGAUAUGUUAACACCUUGGCACAUCAUUCAGAACUCAAAAAGUUGUUUCUCAAAGGAUGAUAAAUUGACAUAAAUAACAUAACAACAAUCAUGAUUUCAUUUAAUUGAGCAGCAUUAGUAGCUGAUUUUACAUUCCUUUAGUAGCAACUCCUUGAAAGUGCAUUCAAACAUACAGGAUUAUUCAUAUUUGUGAUGCCUUUUAUAUACACAUUUCAUUUUCUCUGGCUGACAUUACAACAAGAUUUUAGAGCUUUACAAUUCUAAUAUUUUCUAUUGUUUCUUGUUAUAAUUUAGGAGGAGGAGACUGUAUAGCAUAUUCUUCUUUUUGCUGUCAUUGCUAAUUGUUUUUCUAUCAGCAAAUGUGUUGUUGAUCAAUAACAGAAAGCACAUUCUCAGUGUCUUUGCCCUUGAUUAAAUGGUGAAAUUUUGGAGAAGCUUUUUACACAUGUUCCGUGGUAUAUUUUAUGAAUGUAUGGUACAGGCUGUUUCUUGAUUGAUGAAAGCACGUUUUUAUUUGUAAUUAUGACAUAAAAUUACACUAACCUUACUUGUCAUCCACUUUGUCUGCAUCUUUAAUUACUAAAUCAAAAUGCUUUUUCAAGAGCCAGAAGGUUCUGCUAUAUGGAGGGACUGAACUGUGAUGGGUAGAAACUAGGCAUUGUAAGUAAACACUUCUCCUAUCCAUCAAGAAUAAGAUGCAGCGAGUUAGCUGCAUUUGUUGGCUGCUGUUUUGCUCGUCUUGAUCAAUGUACAGAUUUUUAAUGUUUGGAUAAGUAAUUUUGAGGAUAUUAUUGUUUAAAUUUUUGUGGCUGCAGUUUAUAGAAGAUGCUAAUAUGCAUCCUCUUUUUUAACUACAGAUGGAAA
This 1264-nucleotide unclassified non-coding RNA is filed under the name Hevea brasiliensis (rubber tree). The record is from RNAcentral. Lineage: Eukaryota; Viridiplantae; Streptophyta; Magnoliopsida; Malpighiales; Euphorbiaceae.